CAGUCUAAUGGGAGAGAGACAUAGGUAUGUCAAUCAUUACAUUUCUGUGUGACAAGUGGUAAGUGAUGGAGACACAUGCAAAACAUAGCUAAGACCUUUAUGUGUAAAAGUAUGGAACUGUUUCCACCAAGACUAGUAUAAAACCCUUUUUGGAUCUUCACCUAGUGUUAAUUAUUCUCAUACCUCCUUGUCGUUCCUGUUUCACUUGGCUGAAAGAUCAGCACUCUCUCUCCUUGACAAAAUUCUAUACACUUUCAAGACCUGAUUUUUUUCCCCUUUUUUUGAGGGGUGGAGGGGUGGGGGGGGUGGCUGUGCCAGUGGUAUACAGAAAUUCCAGGGCCUGGGAUCGAACCCUCCCCACAGAUGUGACCUAUGUUGCAGCAGUGACAAUGCCAGAUCCUUAACCACUAGACCAUCAGGAAACUCCUAAAUAUUAAUUUUUUACUUUUUCCAACUGAAGUGCUUUGCCUUGUUGAGGCAUAUUUGGAGAUGCUAACAAACUCAAACAAAGCAUUAUUGUAACAAUGCAAUGCAAUACUCAUUUAUCUGGGACUGUCCAUUUCCUGACAUUCAACAAACCUUGUACAUUUUUUUGAUGCAAGUGCAUUUCCUAAGAAACGACUUUCAGAUGCAUGAUAAGCUGGCUCUCCACAUGCUUCCAGUGUUAAAGGUGACUUCACCUCGAUGGUAGGGUUAUCAGGGAGGUAAUAGUAUUAACAGAACCCAAUAUCAGGAAGUCUAAGAAAAUGAUUAUUUCUCAAUUUUCCUUCUACAUUUUAAAUGUGCAUUUAUUAAAUAUGACUUUGCAAAAUGACUGUAGCUCUCCUCAAAUGGAAUACCCAGUGAACAGAACCCUGGAGUUCAGGAAAAGCUGAACAGUGAUAUAUAAAAGCUGGAGCAGUGAUAUAACAGGUUUAUAGUCUGUUGAGACCCUUUUAUACCUGAAUUUCUAUUAUUAAGCAAAUGAUGCAUUAUUAUGCAUUGAUUUUCCCUCUAGGACCUCUUAUUCUAUAUUAGCUCUUACCUCAUUUCCCUCUAUCUUCCUUGUGUUUGUGUGUGUAUCCAUCACAAGAUUUAAACACUAUCUCUUCCUAGAAUCUUCUCCCUAGGCUUCUAGACAGGGAGGGGGACUUCCCUUGCAUGACUCUUUCAUCGCACUUAUAUUUUAUAUGUUGAAUUACAAGCUAAUGUUUAUCUCACUCACAAUAAAGGCUUUGCUUCACUCACCUCUGAAUCAUCUGAAUCUAGGGAAAUGGCUGGCAAUAAGAGGUGCCUAUUAAUAUCUAAUCUAAGAGCUCAUGAAGAAAUGAGACUGCAAUUGAGCAAGAAUUGGUGAAUUUGUAACACUAUACCCGUGUUCUAGAUUACCUGUCAUCAACCCCAUAUGUGGGUCUCUUUCCUUUACAUUUUAUAGCCCAGCAGAUGGUUUGAAAUCUUCAUUACUGUUAUUUUUUCUUAAAUUAAGAAAGGAAGGAAGGAGGGAAGGAGAGAGGAAGAAGGAAGAGGGAGGAAGGAGAGAAGGAAUGAAAGCAAGCUAAAAAUGAUAGAAUACUCUUCUGCAAUUCUGGGAGAAUUCUGUUUUAGUCUCUGAUUCCUUACAGAGUCAUGUUGAAGCCUGGCUUAAGUAUAGCCAUGUAAUUGGCUAAAUUUGAGUUGACUAAGUAUUUUAUUUCAUCUUUUUCCCCAGAGCCAGUAUAUAUACAUAUAUUUUUGUAUUCUCAAUAUAGUUCAUUCAAUUCACCAAGCAAUUACUGAGCACAUAAUAUAUACUAAGCAAGGCAAGAACACACCUUUGAAUGAGUCAUGUUCUCUGUUCCAAAGGAAAGGAAGAAACUUGAAGAAACGGGUGUGUAACUGUUUACGUGCCAUGCAAAUUUUUGGUGUGACCAUAUGUAGUGGGGCAGUGUUCUGCAUAUUUAAUUUUGUCGUUUGUGUCACAGCCUCCGCACAGCCUGCCGCAUGGAGAAACACAUAGCAUGUGAGUGAGUGGACGGCAUCCCCACAGUCUACUCCUCUGGACGACAGGCAGGUCACUUUGAAGGACGAGUCCUUCCUGGGGUCUGCCUUUCCAAGGAGACGAACACGGGUUUGUUUCAGAACACAAUGGGUUGCCUUUCCUUUUUCAGGAAGAUGUGUAUGGGUGUUCAGGCAAGAUAUUUUAGAUAAAAGUCUUCAUGCUCUACAAAGAGGAAAAACUAACAAUGUACCUGUGAGAUUAGGUGGGUAAUUUAGAACAGUGAGUCACUUCACAUCCCUGGGGUGGAGAGAGGCGCAGAGCCUGCUCUCAGAAUCGAUAAUCACAACAAAUCCUACCCCAGCAGGACAUACAGAAUCUGUCCAGUUCAUAAAAGCCUGCGCUGCUAUUUUUAGAUUUACCCUCACCCCGAGGAUACAGCAGUCACAUAAAGCAGUCUUGUUCAAACGCCACCAGCCCCUUUCAGAAGGGAGUUUUCCUUUAAAUAGGGUUUUUUUUUUUUUCCCUUCUCUUUCUUUCCUUUCUCUCCUGUUCUAAUUAAAGCAGAUUGAAAGGAGGGGUUCAUGUUUUUGAAGCCACAUUUUCUGUUUUCAGGGUUGGCUCUGAGCUUUUUGCUUGAUGAAUACACCAGUUACUUCACAGCUUGCUAAACAAAGCAUUUUUUGUUGGUUUUCUAGAAACCUCAGGGAAUAUGGGAAUUUUAGGUUCAACCCCUAUGGGUUCCUUACCCAAUUCCUGAAAGUCCCACUGUGGUUUGGGGGAGGAAAGAGAGGGUGUCUGUGUUAAACAUCCAGUGAGCUUCCAGAUUUUGGGUCAAAUAUCUACUGGGACAAUUGAGGUCAAAAGUGGCAGACAGUUAAAGGGCAAGAGAAUGAGACUUGGCCAGCGGUGAAGCAGCACAGAGAAAAGUACAGAGUGAGGAAUUUCCAUUUCCAAUAUGCUCCUCUCAUCAAGCCAGGACUCUGCAGGGUGGUCCAUGGCUUCUGGGUUUUCAGAGGAGCCUGGAUCAUCCUUUCUUUAGUUCUUGACUAAGCUCCCAUUACAGGACAUUAAACAAAGAAAAGUCAUCAAAAACUACUCUUGCAAUUUAAUCCAUUCGGGGAAAGGGCAGAACAUAAAACUGGAUAGACCGUAGUGUGAUCCGCUCACUAGUCACAGGACUGAUCCUAAGAGGGAGUCAGAGAAGAGAGGGAAUGAUUUGACAUCAGACAAAAUGGACCUCCGUCUUCAUCUUGGCUACUCCCUGGGCCACACGAGGAAAGUUACUUCAUCUUUGAGUCUUGCUUGGUUCAUUUUUCAAAUAAUGCAUAGGUUUUAUUCACCAUGCUUUUCCUGUGCCAGGGAUUGUGCUAAGGUCUUGACUACUGUUACUUCGUCUGAUGCUCUAAACAACCCUAAGGGAUAGAAACUAGUAUUCUAUCAAGUUUCAAAUGAGGGGACUGAAGCUUUGUGAGAUCAAGCAACUAAAAUGUCAGAAGUAUCUGGCAAGAGAGGAGUUAAAAUAAUAAAAUAAAAUAUGUAGAGCACUUGGUAUGCAGCAGCCACAGCAAUGCUUAUGGUGCUGAGGGAACUGCGGUUGGGACCAUCAGCACACAGGCCAAGGAGGGAGGACUCGGAAGGAGGAAAGCUCUGGGGCUCCAUCAAACUUAGCUUAGUGCCUUGCAUAGAGUAGGUACACAACAAAUACUCAUUGCACACCCAAGCCUGUUUCAGGCCUUCUCAAACCCAAAUGUGCUUUGCUUCCUAGGCAUAAGCCAUCACCUCUUUUGAGUGUGUAUCAUUGCAAUUCCCCCAAAGCCCUGUACUCACCUAAAUGGGAGAGGUAUGGGAGAGAAAAUAGAGUAACUCAAGUGCAUUUUCAUGGGUUACCUCCCUAAUACACACAAGCCAAUGAGUAGGUAUUAUUAAUACAAACCACAUUUUAUAGAUGAGGAAAGGAAGCACAGAAGCCAUAAGUGGCAGGGCUGUCUGGAAAGCCUGGACUCUCACACACUAUGCAACACAGGUUUAGUCAUUUUCAAGUGUAGCUUUAAGUAGUCACACUGAGACUGGCAGAAUCAAGAUCUUGGGUGUGUAUGCCAGUACUGUGUCAAUACCGUAACAGAUUUUUAUUCAAAUUUUAUUAAUUUUUUAAGUUAUUUUAAUUAUUGAUAGAAACAUCAUUUUGGAUUGUUUUCCUACCCUACAACUUUCAAGUAUAUACAUGUAUCCCCUUCCUUCCCCUGAAUGAAGACAACGUCAGAGUCUAAAAGUCAUUAUAGAAAAUGGAACAGGAACCCUACAGGAGAGUUACCAUUUUAGAAAUUCCUCGGCCAUCAACAUGAGUGACAGCAGUCAUGGAAAUCAGAUGCAAUGUCUAGAAGGUAUUUUUCCUGCUAUUUCUCAACGUCUCUCCUCCUAGUUGAGAGAGUAAGAUAUUUUUCUUAAGCCAGCUAACUGUAAUUAAGUAGAGGACUUCACCUCAAGGUGAUUAGCUUUGUGCUACUGAAAAAGCCAAGGCCUCCCCCAUGAUAGAAAAGCAACUUCUAAAAUAGAAAUCUUACAAAGGCCCUUUCUAAAGCAGCAUAGCUUGUGUGAAGGAGCUGGGGUGGGGGUGGGAGGUUGUUAACCUGAGUCUUUGUGAUUCAUAAACACGGAUGUGGUCGCAGUGGAGGUAGAAUUCUCUGGUCUCCAACCCCAGGGAGAGAGGCCACGGAGAAGAACACAUUUUAUCUUCAUAUCCAAUCCCUCUGCUAACUCUGUGGGCAAAAAUAAUAUCUAGUAGGAAAUAAAGACAUGUGUUCCCACAAACACACCAAGCCUAUGUCUCCUAGCAGGGAAGAAAGGGAGGAAAAAGAAAACCAAAACCAAAAACAAACCUCAAUGAAGAGACACAUCCAUUUGCCAUCAACACUUGCCUGAACAACGUCCUCGAUGAUGCUAGAAUUAUUUCUUUGGACUUUUGUUUUAACCUUAGGACUUGUUUUACUUAUUCCAAAUUACUUUCAUUUUCUGAGAAGAAAUCAGUAUGCAUCAGCAUCAGUUCUAGCUGUUAUUGAUCUAACUGGACUUCAUAAAAGCCAAGUGGCCCCAGGGAAUUUGCUUGACUUUGUAAUGUUCCUUUCUCUUAUCUGUGUAGUAAGGAUGAUAAAUUUCUCCUAACUCAUGGGGAUAUGGUGAGGGUUUGUUAAGAUGGAAAACCAAGCAAUUAAGUGCUGACACACAGAACACACUGACUACAUUGUAUAUUUUAUCAUUAUUUUCUCGGUCCACAGAUUGCAAAGAGUUAGUAAUUUUAUUUUCUUAUUGUGAUCACUUAGUGGUUGGGGUAUUCUCUGAUCUAGUGGCACACAACAUUUAUCUCUCCUUUAUAUUCUAUAAAUUGAAGCCUCAAAAGAGCAGGGUUUUUUUAAUAUGGGUUAUAUCUAUCAAUAUUUACCACAUUAGAAAUUAGAACUGAUUUUUUGAAGUUUAUUUCAUUUAAAAUUAGUGUUAUACUGUUUAGACAUUGACAUUCCUUAUUUCUAUGAAAAAAUAUUUUCUAAAACAGAAACAGACUUAAUAAAUUGGGUGGCAUUGUAUAUUUUUCACAAAUCUUUAAUAUCUCGCUUAUCUGACAGCAUCUAUGUUCCUGUAUCUGUUUCUGUAUCUAAUCUAACACAUACAUUUAUAUGUGAAUAUAUACACAUAUAUAUACACACACAUGGAUAUUUCUCUCUAUAUAUAUAUUUCAGUUGAAGUAUAUGAAGAAAUCUGUUUGUACAAAGAUAUGUAGUUAGAAAAACAUGGUCCUUAUAUGUCCUCUGAAAGGUCUCAAGGACCUCCCAAGAUGGACCUCAGUUUUAUUCAAAGCACAAAUUUCUACCACCCUCUUGCCCUCAUGUUUCUUACUGACAGUCCUCAAGACAGAGUACUAAUCUUAAGCAUCAAGUACCCAGUUAUUGACGGUGACUGACUAUGGGUUAAAACCUCAGACACCGGGGCAAUUCUUUUUUUGGACCCCGUGAUAGAAGUGGUUGGUGGACUCUCUCUACCAUCUAGCUUAUCUCUUCACAGAUCAUAUGCCAGGGCUGGUUCUCCUUCUUCCCCUAAUUUGUACUUUGAGCCUGUAUGAAGGAGAUUGACAUUUCACUUUCAGUUUGUGAACCAUGCAUGCUCGAAGUAUAAUUCCAAAGAACUUGGAAAUACACUAUUAUCCAGAAAGAAGUGUCAUAUAGGCAAUAGGAAAAAGGUAACUUCAACACCAAAUUAUUUAUUAAAAUCAUCUUCAUAGACAAUUUCUCCCUUUCCCUCCCUUCCCCCUCUAUAUAUAUGCAUAUAAUUUUAAUACCUAAUAGAUUUUAAUUUUAAUUUUAUUUUUUAGUAAUUUUAUUGUAAUUGAUUUACAAUGUUCUGUCAUUUUCUGCUGUACAGCAAAGGGGCCCAUUUAUGUGUGUGUGUGUGUGUAUAUAUAUAUACAUUCCUUUUUAACAUUAUCCUCCAUCAUGUUCCAUCAAAAGUGAUUGGAUAUAGUUCCCUGUGCUACACAGUAGGAUCUCAUUGCCCACACACUCCAAAUGCAGUAGUUUGCCUCUAGUAACCCCAAACUCCCAGUCCAUCCCACUCCCUCCCCCUCUCCCUUCGCCACAACCAAUCUGUUGUCCAUGUCCAUGAGUUUGUUUCUUUUCUGUAGAUAGGUUUAUUUGUGCCACAUGAUUCCAGAUGUAAGUGAUAUCAUAUGGCAUUUUUUAUUUUCAGUAAUUGUGUUAAAAAUAAGAGAGAAAGAGGAGUUCCCAUCAUGGCGCAGCAGAAACAAAUCUAGCAUCAAAGAGAUGCAAGAUUGAUCCCGGGCCUUGCUCAGUGGGUUAAAGAUCCAGAGUUGCUGUGAGCUGUGGUGCAGGUCGCAUAUGCAGAUCAGAUCUGAUGUUGCAGUGGCUGUGGUG
RNAcentral lists this long non-coding RNA (6876 nucleotides) under Sus scrofa (pig). Its description in RNAcentral is "lncRNA (ENSSSCG00000063131.1)". The record is from RNAcentral. Lineage: Eukaryota; Metazoa; Chordata; Mammalia; Artiodactyla; Suidae.